CAAUGAAUGUUUGGUUCCUUUUAUCUCUUCCUUUAUAACAGAUCAUGUGGAUACAUGACAAACAAAUCGCUUCUAGCAAACUGCUUGAAAUAAGUACUAAGCGUGCAAAACAGAAUAUCAUAUUUUCAUGCUUAUCUACACGGUCGCCAGAGGGCAUCUCAUUUUUAUUUAUUUUGAAGCCAGAUCUCCUCAAUUCUAAACACGAAUUGAAACGAAGGAAACGACUAAUGAGGGGGGCCAGGGACUGACGUCAUCCCAGGCGGCGACGAGGUGCUCAGGCGAGAGGCCCUUGGCGCGCUCGACGUCGAUGAUGGAUUCCAGCGGCUUCGGCUUCAGCGGGGUGAACCCGCUCGCGAACUGGGAGUAACCCCUCCGCUGCGGCCACCGGGAGAGGUCGGCCGGCGAGGAAGAUGGCGCUGCAGAAGCCGCCGCGGGAUGCAGCGCCGGUGUGGCCGGUAUGCCUCCAUGGGCGGCGGCCGGGGCGCGGAGAGCGGCGGCGGCCGGGGCGCGGAGAGCGGCGGCGGCCGGGGGGCGGAGAGCGGUGGUGAUGGCACCGGUGAGCGCGGCGGCCGCGUUGGCGGCGGUCGUCGUGGCCAUGGUGGCGGCGGCUGUCUCGGAGGCGGCGGCGAGGGUUCGGGGCUUGGGGGCGAGUGGCACGGAAAGGGAGAGCCGGGUGAUGCGCGUGGGAGCCUGGCUGUUUUGUGCGCGUGGCGUGAGAGAGAUGUGUGGCUCAGAUGGGAUGGGAGUAGGAAAGCUUCGGCCACACUCGUUCGUCGCCGGGAGCCGUACACGCCAAACACUGACCGGUGGAGCAUGCCGACGUGGGACCGACGUGUCGGCGGUUGUUGGAAAGGUGCUUUCCGCCGCGCGCUGGUACACGAGAGUGUGAGGGACCGACUUUUUUGAAUUUUGGCCCUUUUCGCGAAAAAAUCUGACAAAUAGACCCCUGGUGAAACCAAUUUCGAAAAUGGACUCUUAGCUUGGCGCCAGGAUGGCUGGUGCCAAGGUAUAACGUCUUGGCGCCAGGAGGCAUCCUGGCGCCAAGGUCCCCCCACCGCGCCUCCGACGUGGCGCCGGCCCGCUGACGUGGCGCCGAGGCUUGGUGCCACGAUCUGUGGCGCCCAGGCUUGGCGCCACGAUGCUUGGCGCCAAGCCUUUGCGCCAGCCUCCCUGGCGCCCAGCCUCUUAAUACAAUACCGGGGUCCCUUUCCUUUUGCGCGUCCGUUUGCAUUGUGGUCGUUUCGAAUCGCGCCGCCGCCACCCAACGAAAACCGCCUCCGCCGCCGCCGAUGCCCAGAGGCCGGCCGCCCCCGCCCGGCGCCCGCCCGCCCGAAGCUCCCCGCGUCCGCGCCCGGCCCGAAGCUCCCCGCGGCCGCGCCCCCCCGUCCGGCCGCCGCCCGCCCGAAGGCCCCACGGCCGCGCCCGGCCGCCGCCCGCCCGGCGCCUGAAGGCCCCGCGCCCGCUGCCGGCCGAAGGCCGGCCGGCGGCCGGAGCUGCCCUGGCCGGCGCCCCCCGCGCGGACCCCCGCGGCCGCGCCCCCCCCCCCCAGGACUCAGGGUCGGGCGAAGCGGAGCUUCACUCAGGGUCAGGCGAGGCGGAGUUCCACCCUCAAGGGGUCGGGCGCAUCCGACCCCGGGACCAAGGGUCGGGCGAGGCGGAGUUCCAUGCCGCAGCUAUGUAUACAGGCAAGAACGCAACCUCGAUUCCGAUCCAAGUCGGCCUCGAUUCCGAUCCGAUUCGGCAGCGAACUCUCCUGGCAGUCUGGCCCCGACUCAGCCUCGAUUCCGAUCCGAAUCGGCAGCGGUCGCGGGGCCUUCGGGCGCUGGGCGGGCGGCGGCCGGGCGCGGCCGCGGGGCCUUCGGGCGGGCGGCCACCGGAUGGGGGGGGCGCGGCCGCGGGGAGCUUCGGGCCGGGCGCGGACGCGGGGAGCUUCGGGCCGGGCGUGGACGCGGGGAGCUUCGGGCGGGCGGGCGCCGGCCGAUGGUGGCGCACGCCUUCGGGCGGCCAGGCGUCGGGCGGGGGCGGGUGGGCGGGCGCCGGGCGGGGGCGGCCGACCUCUGGGCGUCGGCGGCAGUUUUCGUCGGGCGGCGGCGGCGCGAUUCGAAACGACCACAAUGCAAACGGACGCGCAAAAGGAAAGGGACCCCGGUAUUGUGUUAAGAGGCUUGGCGCUAGGGAGGCUGGCGCCAGCCAUCUUGGCGCCAAGCCUUGGCACCACAGAUCUUGGCGCCAAGCCUCGGCGCCACGUCAGCGGGCCGGCGCCACGUUGGAGGCGCGGUGGGGGGACCUUGCUGCAAGGAUGCCUGGCGCCAAGACGUUAUACCUUGGCGCCACAUCCUGGCGCCAAGCUAAGGGUCCAUUUUCGAAAUUGGUUUCGCCAGGGGCCUAUUUGUGAGAUUUUUUCGCGAAAAGGGCUAAAAUACAAAAAAGUCGGACCCCUUGAGGGUGGAACUCCGCCUCGCCCGACCCUUAGUCCCGGGGUCGGAUGCGCCCGACCCCUUGAGGGUGGAACUCCGCCUCGCCCGACCCUUUUUCCCGGGGUCGGAUGCGCCCGACCCCUUGAGGGUGGAACUCCGCCUCGCCCGACCCCGAGUGAAGCUCCGCCUCGCCCGACCCUGAGUCCUGGGGUCGGGAGUGUCCGACCCCUGAGCAGAACGUUGGAGUAGUCCGAGGCGAAGUCGAAUCCGACGCGUAGUCGAACUCGAACUGGUUGACUUUGAACGUCUCCUCCUCCUCCACUUCCAGGAGGAGGCUCCCGCCCGUCGAGAAUGGCCACAGCCACGACAGCGCGGCCGUCACCUCCAGGAGGUCCUCAUGUCCACCGACGACAUCCCGCCGUCCUCCGACGUCGACGCAAUCAUCCUCCGAUUCUUACGCCACUUCAGGGACCCGCACGACGCCAGCCGUGUCGACCAGGUAAUGGCCACCGCAUCCUCGAGGCGGCAGCGAAGCGGGCAGCGAUUGGAGUGGAGGCCAGACUGCCAAGAGAGCUCGCUUCCGAAUUGGAUCGGAAUCGAAGCUGACUCGGGGCCAGACUGCCAAGAGAGUUCGCUGCCGAACCGGAUCGGAAUCGAGGCCGACUCGGAUAGAAAUCGAGGUUGCAUUCUUGCCUGUAUAAAUAGCUGCGGGGUUGUGGCCAUGAGCCUAGGACCUCCUUGCCAUCAAGAAACUGCUCAGCAACGCGCGCAGAGAUCACCUCCAUCAACGCCAACACGUGAGCAAGUAAUGACCCGUAGCAACGCACGGGCGAUACGGUCUUCCAUUAGUAGUAAUCUAAGUUUUAGGUUCCGCAUUAUCAAAGAUCCUAGAAAGUAAACUGCAAUAGAAAAACCCUGCACAUUUCAAUGAAUGUUUGGUUCCUUUUAUCUCUUCCUUUAUAACAGAUCAUGUGGAUACAUGACAAACAAAUCGCUUCUAGCAAACUGCUUGAAAUAAGUACUAAGCGUGCAAAACAGAAUAUCAUAUUUUCAUGCUUAUCUACACAGUCGCCAGAGGGCAUCUCAUUUUUAUUUAUUUUGAAGCCAGAUCUCCUCAAUUCUAAACACGAAUUGAAAUGAAGGAAACGACUAAUGAGGGGGGCUAGGGACUGACGUCAUCCCAGGCGGUGACGAGGUGCUCAGGCGAGAGGCCCUUGGCGCGCUCGACGU
This 3647-nucleotide long non-coding RNA is filed under the name Setaria viridis. Its description in RNAcentral is "long non-coding RNA (SVIR_LNC000393)". Lineage: Eukaryota; Viridiplantae; Streptophyta; Magnoliopsida; Poales; Poaceae. The record is from RNAcentral.